UGGGGGAUAUUGCACAAUGGGCGAAAGCCUGAUGCAGCGACGCCGCGUGGGGGAUGAAGGCUUUCGGGUUGUAAACCUCUUUCGCUAUCGAACAAGGCCCGCUUAGGGUGGGUUGAGGGUAGGUGGAGAAGAAGCGCCGGCUAACUACGUGCCAGCAGCCGCGGUAAUACGUAGGGCGCGAGCGUUGUCCGGAAUUAUUGGGCGUAAAGGGCUUGUAGGCGGCUUGUUGCGCCUGCUGUGAAAACGCGGGGCUUAACUUCGCGCGUGCAGUGGGUACGGGGAGGCGUGAGUGUGGUAGGGGUGACUGGAAUUCCAGGUGUAGCGGUGGAAUGCGCAGAUAUCUGGAGGAACACCGAUGGCGAAGGCAGGUCACUGGGCCAUUACUGACGCUGAGGAGCGAAAGCAUGGGUAGCGAACAGG
Molecule: ribosomal RNA, 420 nt
Filed under: Fusobacteriota bacterium
Lineage: Bacteria; Fusobacteriati; Fusobacteriota
Description: Fusobacteria bacterium partial 16S ribosomal RNA
Rfam family: Bacterial small subunit ribosomal RNA
Source: RNAcentral